UCAUGUUGGGGAUCUUGUUGAAAUUCACUUGUUCUCCAUUAAGUUCCCAUUACUGUAGACCACUUCAUUAGCCAGUCACUGAUGUGGAGUCUCCAACUAUCAAGGGCGGAACUCUCACACCUGAUAUGACUCAAGAUAAUUGAAGUGGUAGGAAAGUCCUCCCACAGCAGUGGGAAAACAGGGGUAAAUUUUUAAAUAAGCGUGCGUUGUGAACUUUUGCCGGCCAUCCAACAAAACUGUCAACAAAACGAUAAUUGCUGUCAACCAAUCCCUGCAAUGUUACUGCCUGGAAUCCUUUUCAAUUCACAUAAUCUUCCGGACUUUGGAGAGGUACAAUGACAGGCACAUGGCAACCAUCAAGAGCGGCCACUACUUGGGGAUGGAGACCUGCUUUCACUCCAAACUCAAGUAUUUCUAGAUCCAAAGGCAGAUGAGAGUGACCUACAAAAUGUACUUAUGUUUGAGAAAGUUUCAGCCUGUUGCUCAAAGAAAGCUACACAAACACCACUCAAAAACAUGAAGAUUGGCCAGCUGGACCACAACCUGGG
Pocillopora verrucosa is the source of this 548-nucleotide non-coding RNA. The record is from RefSeq and is a predicted model, not a curated record. Lineage: Eukaryota; Metazoa; Cnidaria; Anthozoa; Scleractinia; Pocilloporidae.